This 433-nucleotide ribosomal RNA is filed under the name uncultured bacterium. RNAcentral describes it as "partial 16S ribosomal RNA". It matches the Rfam family "Bacterial small subunit ribosomal RNA", at positions 29 to 507 of the family's 1533-position model. The record is from RNAcentral.
AACGAACGCUGGCGGCAUGCCUAACACAUGCAAGUCGAACGAGACCUUCGGGUCUAGUGGCGCACGGGUGCGUAACGCGUGGGAACCUGCCCUUAGGUUCGGAAUAACUCCCCGAAAGGGGUGCUAAUACCGGAUAAUGUCUUCGGACCAAAGAUUUAUCGCCUUUGGAUGGGCCCGCGUUGGAUUAGCUAGUUGGUAGGGUAAAAGCCUACCAAGGCGACGAUCCAUAGCUGGUCUGAGAGGAUGAUCAGCCACACUGGGACUGAGACACGGCCCAGACUCCUACGGGAGGCAGCAGUGGGGGAUAUUGGACAAUGGGCGAAAGCCUGAUCCAGCAAUGCCGCGUGAGUGAUGAAGGCCUUAGGGUUGUAAAGCUCUUUUACCCGGGAUGAUAAUGACAGUACCGGGAGAAUAAGCACCGGCUAACUCCGUG